GGUAACAUCAAAUCGUACCCCAAACCGACACAGGUGGUCAGGUAGAGAAUACCAAGGCGCUUGAGAGAACUCGGGUGAAGGAACUAGGCAAAAUGGUGCCGUAACUUCGGGAGAAGGCACGCUGACACGUAGGUGAAGUGAUUUACUCACGGAGCUGAAGUCAGUCGAAGAUACCAGCUGGCUGCAACUGUUUAUUAAAAACACAGCACUGUGCAAACACGAAAGUGGACGUAUACGGUGUGACGCCUGCCCGGUGCCGGAAGGUUAAUUGAUGGGG
This 277-nucleotide ribosomal RNA is filed under the name Salmonella enterica subsp. enterica serovar Cerro. Its description in RNAcentral is "partial 23S ribosomal RNA". It matches the Rfam family "Bacterial large subunit ribosomal RNA", at positions 1630 to 1889 of the family's 2925-position model. The record is from RNAcentral. Lineage: Bacteria; Pseudomonadati; Pseudomonadota; Gammaproteobacteria; Enterobacterales; Enterobacteriaceae.